Molecule: long non-coding RNA, 418 nt
Filed under: Pan troglodytes (chimpanzee)
Lineage: Eukaryota; Metazoa; Chordata; Mammalia; Primates; Hominidae
Description: long non-coding RNA NONPTRT012153
Source: RNAcentral
ACUCAAUAGCAAAUGGAUUGGGCUCUAUGUUCUCUGUCAGACCUGUGUGGCUUUGCUACAUAUCCAGGCUGAGAAGAUAUCCUUUUCCAUAUUCUCCCAAACCCUCUGUUAUUUGAGCCAUGGACUUUCCUUCUUACAGGCUUAUAUGCUCUCACUUAGAGAUUGUUUAUUUUUAUUUAACAGAGGUCAUAAUAAUUGUGGGUUUCUUGGUUUCCCAGCUCAAAGUAGAUUAAAAGUAACACAUUAGGAAGUCAGAGAAAAUGUUAGAAGCAGGCAAACUGGCAGCUAUGAAGUAACAGUUCAUAGAUAAGGAAGGAAGAAGCAGAAAAUUAAAAAACAGAUUCAGAACUGCAUGUAUUUCAUAUAAUAAUGCAGUGCUAGUGAUUCAUAAUGAUAGUGUAGUUAUCAAAAAGACCAA